This 253-nucleotide ribosomal RNA is filed under the name uncultured bacterium. RNAcentral describes it as "partial 16S ribosomal RNA". It matches the Rfam family "Bacterial small subunit ribosomal RNA", at positions 524 to 776 of the family's 1533-position model. The record is from RNAcentral.
UACGUAGGGUCCGAGCGUUGUCCGGAAUUAUUGGGCGUAAAGAGCUCGUAGGCGGUUUGUCGCGUCUGCUGUGAAAUCCCGAGGCUCAACCUCGGGUCUGCAGUGGGUACGGGCAGACUAGAGUGCGGUAGGGGAGAUUGGAAUUCCUGGUGUAGCGGUGGAAUGCGCAGAUAUCAGGAGGAACACCGAUGGCGAAGGCAGAUCUCUGGGCCGUAACUGACGCUGAGGAGCGAAAGCAUGGGGAGCGAACAGG